RNAcentral lists this long non-coding RNA (215 nucleotides) under Ananas comosus (pineapple). Its description in RNAcentral is "long non-coding RNA (ACOM_LNC036909)". The record is from RNAcentral. Lineage: Eukaryota; Viridiplantae; Streptophyta; Magnoliopsida; Poales; Bromeliaceae.
CAGAUUAGUGUAGGUUGAGUUUACGCUCGCGUUGAGGAGCUAAGUUAGUUUUUAUAGUUGAGUUAGUCUGUGUUGGACUACUGGGUGCCGCCGGGACGGAUGGUGGACACAGAUUUUUGUAUCUUGCAUCAGAUUGUGCCAAGGGCACGUGAGAUUUGGUUGUUAGACCAGUUUGACCCAUUUGCAUUGACUAUAGCCUGUGAGAGCCUGAUUGA